UUCUGUGACUCGGAAACGAUAGGGGACACAACUCUUGAAGUGGUCCAUGUGGCAACUAUUAAAUUCAAAGGCUUGAAUUGAGGCAGUGCAUUUGGUGGCGUCCAGGAGAGGAGAGUGUGACAACACUGUGUUACACUGUGUGGCUAUUCAAGUGAACUGAAAAGUGCUCGUGUUGCCUCAAGGAGAUCGAGUGAUAGAUGAAGAUUGCAAAGCCACGGAUCAUCAUUCAAGUUUUGAGCCUGAAGGUUUUCUGAAUGCAGGCUGUUUUUAUUUAGGUAGUACUCAGUGAUGCAAGCUAGAGUAGUUGGCCGUCUUCCAAGGUGGUCGGGAAGGAACAAGUGGGGAAUUGGAUUUAAAAAACACAUAACAUCUUUCUCUCCAGAUUGAGGAGGUGAGCUCCAGGUGUUAAUCCCUGCUGACCCUAAAGCCACUGAGGCUAGCAGACGGCUAAAUGCAUCAAAUAAGCCAAAUCAAUAAGUCACCUAUUUACAAAGUUAAAGACCUGAUAAUCACUGUUGGAGUGAUUUAAGAAAUCACUUUUAUAAAAUAUAAGAAAGUCACAUGAUUACAUCUUAAAACAUGAUGACCCAAAUCAAAUAUUUAUUUAUUUACUGUUUUGGACCUUUUGCAAAGCGUUCAACUUCUAUAAAAUUGCAUUACGUUGUGUGUGUAAGUUCUUAUUUCACAUGUUGGGACACUGGUGAUGUUUCCGAGCUUGUUCUUAUAAGUAUUUGAUUUACGGAUGUAUAUUAAUGGCAUAAAAAUUGACAACGCUGAAACAAUCCCUGGCAUGAAUGUAGACGAGUUACUUUACGUUCCACCUGGAGCUGGUUUGAAUGAGCUUUACAUCCCGUCAUGAAUCCGCGUACAGAGCACUCGCUCAACAAAAAGGUGUCACGGGGAUUACAAAAAGUGUCCAGUAAUGAAUUAGUAAACAAUGGAGGGGGGUAUUUGCCGCUUUCAGCUGUGCAGAUGGUGGAUUUUUCUGCCUUUGACAUAAAAUAACUUUUCCAUGAAUCUUUCUGCAGAGGAGUAUCAUAGCAUCACCAUUACUAUGUCUUUUGAAGAAUAAUACCAAUAAAUGACUGCGUCCUUGUUUAACACACAGUAGCUUGUGCGUGUCCUGUGUAAGAUUGUCACUUUUCUUCGCUGUGUUUUCCAAUCCUACAUUUUUGCUUUGAAAGUUUUUGAGUUGUUGCUGUGUAGAAGUAAAGUGAAGGAGUUUUGUGUGCUCUCUAAAAGUAUCCUGUCCAUUAUCGUGUGAA
Gasterosteus aculeatus aculeatus (three-spined stickleback) is the source of this 1265-nucleotide long non-coding RNA. The record is from Ensembl. Lineage: Eukaryota; Metazoa; Chordata; Actinopteri; Perciformes; Gasterosteidae.